CAUUGCCUUCAUAUCCAACACAGAAGAGGAAAACAGUCAAGAUAUGGAUAAAGAAUGGGCCAAUGAAGUUGCAAUGCUGGGAAGACAGUUUAACAGAUUGUUAAAGAAAAUGGACGUAAGAUCCAAGACAAAUGUCAAGAACAUCUCAUCUGACAUCAGCAAUGGAAGAAGAGUAAGGCCAGAGGAGAAGCCCAAAGAAGGAAAAGAAGUAAAGUGCUAUGAAUGUGAUGGGUAUGGACACAUUAGAACAGAAUGUG
RNAcentral lists this long non-coding RNA (257 nucleotides) under Lathyrus oleraceus (garden pea). RNAcentral describes it as "Pisum sativum (pea) long non-coding RNA (PSAT_LNC021486)". Lineage: Eukaryota; Viridiplantae; Streptophyta; Magnoliopsida; Fabales; Fabaceae. The record is from RNAcentral.